Oryza sativa Japonica Group (Japanese rice) is the source of this 1365-nucleotide non-coding RNA. Lineage: Eukaryota; Viridiplantae; Streptophyta; Magnoliopsida; Poales; Poaceae. The record is from RefSeq and is a predicted model, not a curated record.
UUGAGGAAUGAUGAGCACACCAUGCCCUUGGAUACUGUUGGAGAAAUGAUAUUUGGGUUCAGUGAAGAACCUAAUGGGAAUGAUUUCGCUGGUGUUCUCAGCAUGCACAAGUUUGUCAGCAUUGUCACUUGGUAAACACCUGUUGUCAUGUAUGCAAGGUGCAGUUAGUGCUUAUCGGCUUUUAUCAGCCGUGGAGGAACAAAGCUUGGUGUCUUGGAAUACCAUGAUCUCGGGUUUUCUGGCACACAGGGUUGUUCAUGAUAAACAGAAGGUUUCAAGCCUGAGUGCCGGACAGUUUUACAUGGAACCUGAUGAUUAAUGGGUCUGCAGACUGUGCACACCACGGGAGAUUGUCCAGGUCUUUUCAUCUUUUAGUAAGAUGCAAAUGGAGGGUUUUUCUUUUCCUCGAGAAACUGGCAGGAGAUCUGCCUUGAUUUAUAUUAAGAAGAAUAUCAACUGAGUUAAUUCUCGUCGGCAGAGAUUGGCAACUCCAUCUGUGUGAUGUUCUGAAUUGCCAUGAAGGCGAUUUGCAGUUGUCUUUCUGUUGCUGCUGAAAGAUUCUUCUGUUCCUCUCCAGCCAAAUAUUCUGAAAAAAAACAAUGACAAGUGUGCCGAAUGCUUGUUCAGCCUUAUCAAUUUUUUCGGCAAUGCUGGGAGUUCAAGUAUGAUGUUUUCCAAACAACAGCAAUUGACAUGAAAGUUGUUUCCAGGUUGCAACACUCAAGAGUAGGAAUGUGCAUGAAAGCCUGGUCAUUGCGGGGUGACAUUUGAUUUGAAUUUGCACCAUCCUUAUUCCCUCGCAAGUAAAGAUGGUGCCAUGGUACCAAACAUUACAGUUCCACAAUAUCAAGAACCUGAUAUUAGGUUGAUAUGCUGCGUACCUGUGUUAAACUCUCGUAGUGACCUUGUGCCAUCUCAGCAGAAUUAGUUUUGAGCUUGCAUUUUGCCGCAAAGCCAUGAUCAAGAUUGACCCUGUGGUCGACACGUGUCAAGUGGUGGGAGCAAAGAACCACAUGCACUGUGGAGGCCUAGAGGUUCGCACUGUGAGUGCCGCUUUAGGCAUCACUGAGAAUGCAAGCUGGAGAUGGAGAAGUUAAAAUCAAAUUUGUCAUCUUUUGCGAGCUGAUGGUCCCUUGUAUCAGUGGAGGAUGAGCCCACUGGUUUUGCUGGGAAUGUUCUUUUUGCAGAAUAUUUUAGUCUGCGCCGUAGCGUGUGAUCUGCUGAGUAGAAUAUACUGCUUGUACUACUUUUCUUAGCCACAGUAAUGAUAGAACUGUAAGGAUUUGGUGGAUUUACCUGUAGAAUUUCAUAGUAAUCGACAAAUGAUAUAAUCGGUAAUUAAAUGGCCUUCAAAAUCGAUAGUGU